UGUACUGCUGUGUGAGGUACUGUGUGUUACCUCUCUGUACUGCUGUGUGAGGUCCUGUGUGUUACCUCUCUGUACUGCUGUGUGAGGUCCUGUGUGUUACCUCUCUGUACUGCUGUGUGAGGUACUGUGUGUUACCUCUCUGUACUGCUGUGUGAGGUACUGUGUGUUACCUCUCUGUACUGCUGUGUGAGGUCCUGUGUGUUACCUCCCUGUACUGCUGUGUGAGGUCCUGUGUGUUACCUCUCUGUAUUGCUGUGUGAGGUACUGUGUUACCUCCCUGUACUGCUGUGUGAGGUCCUGUGUGUUACC
Long non-coding RNA from Oncorhynchus keta (chum salmon), 309 nucleotides. RefSeq lists it as uncharacterized. NCBI's taxonomy places the organism in Eukaryota, Metazoa, Chordata, Actinopteri, Salmoniformes, Salmonidae. The record is from RefSeq and is a predicted model, not a curated record. The transcript has 3 exons.